AUGACCUUGUCGGAAGGGAAGGGCCACAUGUGCUGCGUGGAGCCGGUGUCAUGGUUGUCCACGAAGGUCACCGCCUUGGCUGGCCACCACCCGAUCAUGCCUGGCGCCUUGCCGUCGGUGCCGCGCAGCCGCCACAGCUCGCCCUCCACAGCCACGUUGAGGAUGCCUUUGGUGGUGAAGUCGAACGUGGUGCCGGGGCCGGAGCCGCCCACCUUGUUCACCCAGUUCACCAGCUCCUGCCGGUGCUGGUCCUGGUUGAGGUUGGGCUUGCCGUCCCCGCCGUACGCCAGCGACGUCCAUAUCUCGGCCACGGCGAAGCUGGGCUCCGAGCGGUCGAUGUAG
RNAcentral lists this ribosomal RNA (342 nucleotides) under Triticum aestivum (bread wheat). Its description in RNAcentral is "partial small subunit ribosomal RNA". Lineage: Eukaryota; Viridiplantae; Streptophyta; Magnoliopsida; Poales; Poaceae. The record is from RNAcentral.